AGUCAUGCAAGAAGAUAUGCAAUUAAACUCAUUCCUAUCUAAUGCACAAUAUAAUAGGUUCAUGGCUUUUGAAUUUUGUUGAGCCAUUUUCUCAUUAUGAUUAGUAUUUGUGUGUGUUCCAUUGUCUAUAAUGCUCCAUAAAUUAUAAUCAAGUGAUUGUAUGAAAAUGCGCAUGCGUGCUUUCCAAUGUGUAUAGUUUAUGCCAUUAAAUAGUGGAGGUGUAUCAAUUAAUUGUCCUUCACCUAGAAAAUUAUCUAUUUGAGUUGUCAUGAUCUUUGGCUCUUGAUCGUGAGAUCAAUAAUUAAUCUUAGAGCACCUGCUCUGAUACCACUUGUUGCCCAAGGUGACAACCCAAGAGG
This 359-nucleotide long non-coding RNA is filed under the name Phoenix dactylifera (date palm). RNAcentral's name for it is "long non-coding RNA (PDAC_LNC014241)". The record is from RNAcentral. Lineage: Eukaryota; Viridiplantae; Streptophyta; Magnoliopsida; Arecales; Arecaceae.